Molecule: ribosomal RNA, 253 nt
Filed under: uncultured bacterium
Lineage: Bacteria
Description: partial 16S ribosomal RNA
Rfam family: Bacterial small subunit ribosomal RNA
Source: RNAcentral
UACGAAGGGGGCUAGCGGUGUUCGGAUUUACUGGGCGUAAAGCGCGUGUAGGCGGGUCGUUAAGUUGGGGGUGAAAUCCCGAGGCUCAACCUCGGAACUGCCUUCAAAACUGGCGACCUGGAGCAAGAUAGAGGCAAGUGGAAUUGCGAGUGUAGAGGUGAAAUUCGUAGAUAUUCGCAGGAACACCAGUGGCGAAGGCGACUUGCUGGAUCUUUGCUGACGCUGAGACGCGAAAGCGUGGGGAGCAAACAGG